AGAGGUCACAGGUUGGAGGCCACAGCAGAAGCACUCAUGGCGCAGCCCCGUCAGAGUCCAACAAUUCUGCCAAUUCUGCU
RNAcentral lists this ribozyme (80 nucleotides) under Crocodylus porosus (Australian saltwater crocodile). Its description in RNAcentral is "Mammalian CPEB3 ribozyme (ENSCPRG00005010761.1)". It matches the Rfam family "Mammalian CPEB3 ribozyme". Rfam says of the family: The mammalian CPEB3 ribozyme is a self cleaving RNA located in the second intron of the CPEB3 gene which belongs to a family of genes regulating messenger RNA polyadenylation. Lineage: Eukaryota; Metazoa; Chordata; Crocodylia; Crocodylidae. The record is from RNAcentral.